UACGUAGGGGGCUAGCGUUGUCCGGAAUCAUUGGGCGUAAAGAGCGCGUAGGCGGUCUGACAGGUCUGCUGUGAAAACUCGAGGCUCAACCUCGAGAUGUCGGCGGAAACCGUCUGGCUAGAGUCCGGAAGAGGAGAGUGGAAUUCCUGGUGUAGCGGUGAAAUGCGCAGAUAUCAGGAAGAACACCCGUGGCGAAGGCGGCUCUCUGGGACGGUACUGACGCUGAGACGCGAAAGCGUGGGGAGCGAACAGG
Molecule: ribosomal RNA, 253 nt
Filed under: uncultured bacterium
Lineage: Bacteria
Description: partial 16S ribosomal RNA
Rfam family: Bacterial small subunit ribosomal RNA
Source: RNAcentral